GAGAAAUGUCCGGAAGGCUGCCCGCGUCCUCGUGGUCGACGGAGGACACAUCGCUCUGCGGGUCAGUCAUCGUGGACCUCGUUUGUUUUCUCUGCGGGGCGGAUGUUUCAGACUCCUGUUCGGCCUCUGAGCUUUCGAACAGAGUCUCGAGGUUCAGCGGAGCUACCGUCAUCUCCGCGUACUCUUUGGCCUCGUCGACCGUCUGGCGCUUGAGUUUUGUACCGAAGGUACGUUGGGCCCACUGGGCGGCUUUGUCGAAGGAACGGUCAAACCCGUCGCAUCCGAUGCGUUCGAGCUUGUUCCCCUCUUCGGACAACGCUUUCGUGUAGUGGCUAUUCAGAAUAUUAAUAGUGUUCUGAGCCCACUUUUUUGCAUUGUCCUCAAUGAGGGCUUGCGUGGCGGCGUUUGGCAAAGCCGGUUUGAUAACCUCUGAUAGGUAUUUUACAAUCUCGCCGAUCGCAGGAGGCUGCCCUUGGCAUAUAUUGUUCAUGUGAUGUUUCAAUUUUAUGAUCUUGAACGACGUGCGGACCGAGUCGAUGUGAGGGUCCGUAGACUGUUUCGGCUUUUGGUUCUGCCGGUGAUGUGAUUUUUUGUUUUUGGGGUGCGAGCGCACCAUAUACUGAGG
Long non-coding RNA from Ictalurus punctatus (channel catfish), 625 nucleotides. The record is from Ensembl. NCBI's taxonomy places the organism in Eukaryota, Metazoa, Chordata, Actinopteri, Siluriformes, Ictaluridae.